UGAGAGUUUGAUCCUAGCUCAGGGUGAACGCUGGCGGCGUGCCUAAGGCAUGCAAGUCGAACGAGUGUGCCCCGCAAGGGGCGCGCGAGUGGCAGACGGGAGAGUAACACAUUGGCAACCUGCCUUGAAGACGGGCAUAAUUCGCCGAAAGGCGAACUAAUUCCCGAUGGACAUGAGGGGGCGCAAGCCAUUCUCAUGUAAAGUCCAAAAGACGCUUCAAGAGGGGCCUAUGGCCUAUCAGCUUGUUGGUGGGGUAACGGCCUACCAAGGCUACGACGGGUAGCGGGUGUGAGAGCACGACCCGCCUCAGUGGAACUGAGACACUGUCCACACUCCUACGGGAGGCUGCAGUCAGGAAUAUUGGGCAAUGGGCGAAAGCCUGACCCAGCGACGCCGCGUGCAGGAAGAAGCCCUUCGGGGUGUAAACUGCUUUUGCCGCCGAAUAAGCCCGCCUAAAUUUCGCUAAGCGAAAGAAAUACAAGGCGAAAACAUAACCUAAGAGAGUGCUGAUAAAUGAAUAAUCUAGUUUUGGCGAAACUUAGGCGGGCUGAAUGUAGGCGGAGAAUAAGGGGUUCCUAACUCUGUGCCAGCAGGAGCGGUAAUACAGAGACCUCAAGCGUUACCCGGAUUUACUGGGCUUAAAGCGUCCGCAGGUGUCCACCUAAGUUUUUCGUUAAAUCUUCAGGCUCAACUUGAAGCUGCGAAAAAAACUGGGUGGAUUGAGGCCGGGAGAGGCAAGUGGAACUACCGGUGUAGCGGUAAAAUGCAUUAAUAUCGGUAGGAACACCAAAGGCGAAGGCAGCUUGCUAGAACGGCUCUGACACUCAUGGACGAAAGCGUGGGGAGCGAAUAGGAUUAGAUACCCUAGUAGUCCACGCCCUAAACGAUGGAUGCUAGCUAUUGGAAGUAUCGACCCUUCCAGUGGCGUUUUCAUAAGGGAAACCGUUAAGCAUCCCGCCUGGGAAGUACGGCCGCAAGGCUAAAACUCAAAGGAAUAGACGGGGACCCGCACAAGCGGUGGAUCAUGUGGUUUAAUUCGACGAUAAGCGAGGAACCUUACCAGGGCUUGACAUGCUUCUGCAAGCGCACGGAAACGUGUGACCUUCGAGGGUGAAGCACAGGUGCUGCAUGGUUGUCGUCAGCUCGUGCCGUGAGGCGUUCCAUUAAGUUGGGUAACGAGCGCAACCCCUAUUGUCUGUUACUGUGUCAGACGAGACUGCUCCGGUAUACGGAGAGGAAGGCGGGGAUGACGUCAAAUCAGCAUGGCCCUUACGUCCUGGGCUACACACGUGAUACAAUGGCCGGUACAAUGGGACGCCAAGUCGCAAGAUGGAGCCAAUCCCAUCAAAACCGGUCCCAGUUCGGAUUGGGGGCUGCAACUCGCCCCCAUGAAGCCGGAAUCGCUAGUAAACGCGCAUCAGCCACGGUGCGUUGAAUACGUUCUCGGGUUAGCGCAAAGUGCGCAAGGCCCCUCUCGGCAGUAAUGUCGAGAUGCAAAGUGAGCUAAUAACGGUGAACGCCAUAACAGUCUGGUGAGACUUUGUGGUCAAUACCGUGGGAAGUCCGACCAAAGUCGGACCCCGUAGAGACUUAUAUUGUAGGUGCCCCAUAAUGGGGAAAACAAACUACAAUUAUACGCUCACCUUCCUAAACGUGGUAGCUGCAGGCUUUAGCCUGCGCACUACGAUGGAAGAAGAUAUAGUCCAUCCCAUUGGUAACAAUGGAAAAAGAUGCUUGUACUCACCGCCCGUCAAGCCAAGCGAGCGGGGAAUUCCUGAAGCCGCCGGGGUAAGAGCCGGCGUCCAAGGAAGGCCUCGUGAGAGGGGCUAAGUCGUAACAAGGCAUCCCUAGCGGAAGCUGGGGAUGGAUCACCUCCUU
RNAcentral lists this ribosomal RNA (1878 nucleotides) under Parcubacteria group bacterium GW2011_GWA2_47_26. Its description in RNAcentral is "bacterial SSU rRNA". It matches the Rfam family "Bacterial small subunit ribosomal RNA". The record is from RNAcentral.